UACGGAGGAUGCGAGCGUUAUCCGGAUUUAUUGGGUUUAAAGGGUGCGUAGGCGGGUUAUCAAGUCAGCGGUAAAAUCGUGGAGCUCAACUCCAUCCAGCCGUUGAAACUGAUGAUCUUGAGUGGGCGAGAAGUAAGCGGAAUUUCUAGUGUAGCGGUGGAAUGCUUAGAUAUUAGGAAGAACACCAGAGGCGAAGGCGGCUUACUGGACUGCAACUGACACUGAGGCUCGAAAGCGUGGGGAGCAAACAGG
This 252-nucleotide ribosomal RNA is filed under the name uncultured bacterium. RNAcentral's name for it is "partial 16S ribosomal RNA". It matches the Rfam family "Bacterial small subunit ribosomal RNA", at positions 524 to 776 of the family's 1533-position model. The record is from RNAcentral.